AUUGCCCCAGUAACGGCGAGUGAAGCGGCAACAGCUCAAAUUUGAAAUCUGGCCCCCAGGGUCCGAGUUGUAAUUUGCAGAGGAUGCUUUUGGCGAGGUGCCUUCCGAGUUCCCUGGAACGGGACGCCAUAGAGGGUGAGAGCCCCGUCUGGUUGGACACCGAGCCUCUGUAAAGCUCCUUCGACGAGUCGAGUAGUUUGGGAAUGCUGCUCUAAAUGGGAGGUAUAUGUCUUCUAAAGCUAAAUAUUGGCCAGAGACCGAUAGCGCACAAGUAGAGUGAUCGAAAGAUGAAAAGCACUUUGAAAAGAGGGUUAAAUAGUACGUGAAAUUGUUGAAAGGGAAGCGCUUAUGACCAGACUUGGGCCCGGUGAAUCAUCCAGCGNUUCUCGCUGGUGCACUUUGCCGGGNCUCAGGCCAGCAUCAGUUUGCCUUGGGGGAUAAAGGCUCUGGGAAUGUGGCUCCUCCGGGAGUGUUAUAGCCCACCGCACAAUACCCUGGGGCGGACUGAGGUUCGCGCUUUAUGCAAGGAUGCUGGCGUAAUGGUCAUCAGCGACCCGUCUUGAAACACGGACCAAGGAGUCGUCUUCGUAUGCGAGUGUUCGGGUGUCAAACCCCUACGCGUAAUGAAAGUGAACGCAGGUGAGAGCUUCGGCGCAUCAUCGACCGAUCCUGAUGUUCUCGGAUGGAUUUGAGUAAGAGCAUACGGGGCCGGACCCGAAAGAAGGUGAACUAUGCCUGUAUAGGGUGAAGCCAGAGGAAACUCUGGUGGAGGCUCGCAGCGGUUCUGACGUGCAAAUCGAUCGUCAAAUAUGGGCAUGGGGGCGAAAGACUAAUCGA
RNAcentral lists this ribosomal RNA (837 nucleotides) under Keithomyces neogunnii. RNAcentral describes it as "Metacordyceps neogunnii partial 28S ribosomal RNA". It matches the Rfam family "Eukaryotic large subunit ribosomal RNA", at positions 74 to 938 of the family's 3401-position model. Lineage: Eukaryota; Fungi; Ascomycota; Sordariomycetes; Hypocreales; Clavicipitaceae. The record is from RNAcentral.